GAGAUGAUAAGUACUAGUGCAGUGGGGACUGUCGUUUGUCUCAAUAACCCUCCUCAUAUAAGUUUUUCCAGAAAUUCUGACCAUCCGAAUCCUGGAGAAGUUGUGCCAUGAUGAUGCGAACUUAAUGUGAGAAGCAAGUGGGUCUGAGAAGGGUAAAUGGCGGAAAGAAGUAGACACAGAUCCUAUUUACUGGGCUAGUGCACCCAUCCCCCAGCUGCUGCGAGUGAUGACAGCUAACAGCCUACAGCAAUUUUCCUGAGAGUUGUCCCUGGCCAAAAGAAGCCUCCUCGUUUUGAAAUGCCUGUGACCUUAUGCCCUGUCCCCAGGGCCAGCCUGGAGACUGUGACUUAUUGAUUCAAGGUCUGGACCUCUACCUCAAGCUCUAUACCUAAUGGUGGUGAAAUUCAAUUGAUCAAAUUGUGCUGGUCUCAGGAGCUACUGUUGCUCACUCUGUGAUGAGAGGAAUAUCCCACAUACUCCUGCAGCGUAGAGGAAACCCUCUAGGGUAAUCUCCAGCCAAACUUUUAAGUCGCAAGUUAGUUCUGCCCACCUUUGAGAUUCAUAUUCCUUGGGAUUUUCUGUGUAAACAAUCAUGUCAUCUGCAAGAGGGAACAUUUUAUAUCUUCCUUUCUAAUCGUUUUUGCCAUCUGGCUACUUUAGAUGAAGAAAGUAAAGCAUGAGGAGGUGAACUAUGUUUUACAAGGUUACACUUAUAAUUGGCAAAGCCAAGAUUCAAAUCCAAGCAACGUGACUCUCUAGCUUACACCUGAACCACCACCUUAUAACCUUAAUCUCAUCAGUCAUCGCUGGUUUCAGAAAUACCAGUGGACUGUGAUGAAACUGGCCAGAGAGCACUACAAAAUGCCCUAACUCUGGGCACACGCGGGAUGGCAGGCAGAGAGAAGGAAGAAAGGUAAAUGUAGCCUGAUCAAUUUGCUGAUGGAAUGAAAUUCUCAGAUACCCAAGAAAAUAC
Molecule: long non-coding RNA, 973 nt
Filed under: Equus caballus (horse)
Lineage: Eukaryota; Metazoa; Chordata; Mammalia; Perissodactyla; Equidae
Description: lncRNA (ENSECAG00000051051.1)
Source: RNAcentral